This 449-nucleotide ribosomal RNA is filed under the name uncultured bacterium. RNAcentral's name for it is "partial 16S ribosomal RNA". It matches the Rfam family "Bacterial small subunit ribosomal RNA", at positions 29 to 523 of the family's 1533-position model. The record is from RNAcentral.
AACGAACGCUGGCGGCAGGCCUAACACAUGCAAGUCGAGCGAGACCUUCGGGUCUCGCGGCGGACGGGUGAGUAACGCGUGGGAAUAUGCCCUUUGGUACGGAAUAGCCUCGGGAAACUGAGCGUAAUACCGUAUGUGCCCUUCGGGGGAAAGAUUUAUCGCCAAAGGAUUAGCCCGCGUUGGAUUAGGUAGUUGGUGGGGUAAUGGCCUACCAAGCCUACGAUCCAUAGCUGGUUUGAGAGGAUGAGCAGCCACACUGGGACUGAGACACGGCCCAGACUCCUACGGGAGGCAGCAGUGGGGAAUCUUAGACAAUGGGGGAAACCCUGAUCGAGCCAUGCCGCGUGAGUGAUGAAGGCCUUAGGGUUGUAAAGCUCUUUCAGCUGGGAAGAUAAUGACGGUACCAGCAGAAGAAGCCCCGGCUAACUACGUGCCAGCCGCCGCCGUAA